GAAUUUUGGACAAUGGGCGCAAGCCUGAUCCAGCAAUGCCGCGUGCAGGAAGAAGGCCCUAUGGGUUGUAAACUACUUUUGUCAGGGAAUAAACCUCUCGAUUUACUCGGGAGCUGAAGGUACCUGAAGAAUAAGCACCGGCUAACUCCGUGCCAGCAGCCGCGGUAAUACGGAGGGUGCAAGCGUUAUCCGGAAUCACUGGGUUUAAAGGGUGCGUAGGUGGCAUCGUAAGUCAGAAGUGAAAGUUUGCGGCUUAACCGUAAAAUUGCUUUUGAUACUGCGAUGCUUGAAUCAGGUUGAGGUUGGCGGAAUGUGGCAUGUAGCGGUGAAAUGCUUAGAUAUGCCAUAGAACACCAAUUGCGAAGGCAGCUGACUGGACCUGUAUUGACGCUGAGGCACGAAAGCGUGGGGAGCGAACAGG
Molecule: ribosomal RNA, 421 nt
Filed under: uncultured bacterium
Lineage: Bacteria
Description: bacterial SSU rRNA
Rfam family: Bacterial small subunit ribosomal RNA
Source: RNAcentral